GGGCGCGCGCCCGCGUCCGCGCACUGAGAGUCGCCUCGGCCGCUCGCUUUCUCGACUCCCGCCUCGCGCCUCGAUCCUGUUCCGCCUCCCUCGGCCCUCCUGCCCGCCCCCACUCGUCGGCCCUCAGCUCAGAGACCUAAUAGGAUGGGGUCUUAGAGAAACAUCUUUUGAGCCACAGACUUCUUUGUUACCAGAAGGAAAAUGAAAGAAGAAAUUUAAAUACCACUUGAAGAGAGGUGCUGCCCAGUUCAUGAGUGCUGCUGCUGUCCUGCCCAAGUACCCAGCUUGCAGAGUGCCAGAGUUAGAGUCCCAGGGGUGUUCUCCACAGCUGCAUGCUUGAUCCAGGCCUAUCAGCAUCUGAGGAAUACAUCCAAAGAGGGUGAUACUGUGGCAUGAUGGUACCAGGAUUCCAAGUUCAUUCCAGGUACAGUCGAUGCAUCAUUCACAGCAGACUCGUGAGUGUCCAUCCUGUGCCAGACUCCAUCGCAGGUGCUGGGGAUACCAGGCAGAGGAUGCAGUGUUGCCAGCUAUCAGGAAGACCUGACGGUCAACAAUCGUGCUUCCAAAGCCACCUGCAUAUUAUACUCCCUUGGGGGUCAGCUGUAAUAUACCUGUGCCUAGGCCCCAUCCUAGGCCAAUGGAAUCAGAAUCUCUGGGCCUAGGGCUGGCACACCCAUCUUUUUUAAGCCUCAAGUGCUGUUCAUGGGCAGUCAGGGCUGAGACCCCCUGCUGGAGUAGAAGGAUGGUGCAUAGGUAGCAAAACCACAAAGCAAUGGGCAAAGGCCAAGUCGCAGAUGGCAGUUGCGUAAGCUGGAAGUGGUGACAUUUCUCUUCAGUGCAUAACCACAGCUCAGAAUGAAUAUUUGUAUGGAUCAGGAGGCCAAGUGACCUGGUAUUGAGCAGUAGAUAAACGUUGCAUCUAUUUAUCACCACCCCCAAAAAACCUUUUUAAAAUGGCAAAUACCAUUCAUUAAAUGUUUAUUUUUCC
RNAcentral lists this long non-coding RNA (988 nucleotides) under Homo sapiens (human). RNAcentral's name for it is "synapse stability regulating cerebellar lncRNA". Lineage: Eukaryota; Metazoa; Chordata; Mammalia; Primates; Hominidae. The record is from RNAcentral.